CACGCCGUAAACGUUGUGCACUAGGUGUGGGAGGUAUCGACCCCUUCCGUGCCGAAGCUAACGCAUUAAGUGCACCGCCUGGGGAGUACGGUCGCAAGACUGAAACUCAAAGGAAUUGAC
RNAcentral lists this ribosomal RNA (120 nucleotides) under uncultured bacterium. RNAcentral describes it as "partial 16S ribosomal RNA". It matches the Rfam family "Bacterial small subunit ribosomal RNA", at positions 796 to 914 of the family's 1533-position model. The record is from RNAcentral.